This 253-nucleotide ribosomal RNA is filed under the name uncultured bacterium. Its description in RNAcentral is "partial 16S ribosomal RNA". It matches the Rfam family "Bacterial small subunit ribosomal RNA", at positions 524 to 776 of the family's 1533-position model. The record is from RNAcentral.
UACAGAGGUCUCAAGCGUUGUUCGGAUUCAUUGGGCGUAAAGGGUGCGUAGGCGGCGGGGUAAGUCGGGUGUGAAAUCUCAGGGCUCAACCCUGAAACUGCACUCGAUACUGCUCUGCUUGAGGACUGGAGAGGAGAUUGGAAUUCACGGUGUAGCAGUGAAAUGCGUAGAUAUCGUGAGGAAGACCAGUGGCGAAGGCGGAUCUCUGGACAGUUCCUGACGCUGAGGCGCGAAGGCCAGGGGAGCAAACGGG